Molecule: ribosomal RNA, 254 nt
Filed under: uncultured prokaryote
Description: partial 16S ribosomal RNA
Rfam family: Bacterial small subunit ribosomal RNA
Source: RNAcentral
ACGGGGGGAGCAAGCGUUGUUCGGAUUUACUGGGCGUAAAGGGCGCGUAGGCGGCCACCGCAAGUCGACUGUGAAAUCUCCGGGCUUAACCCGGAAAGGUCAGCCGAUACUGCGGGGCUAGAGUGCAGAAGGGGCAACUGGAAUUCUCGGUGUAGCGGUGAAAUGCGUAGAUAUCAGGAGGAACACCGGUGGCGAAGGCGGCUUUCUGGACAGAAACUGACGCUGAUGCGCGAAAGCUAGGGGAGCAAACUGGA